GGAGGAAGUCUCCGAGUAGGGCUUCUGCGCACGCGGGCCGUCCUCUCCGGUGACCUCGACUGCCUAAGACGCAUUUCUCUCUCGUCCUGUGGACGCUGCAGCCGGGCUGGAAGUGCAAGCGCGACGGUCUGGAGGCCGGGAGACGGCAGGUGGCCGGUGGCGCGCCUCGUGUGCGCUGCCGGUUGUUAGCCAUCCCCUCAGUGACUCGUCUCCAAACCGUUGUGUCGCGAGGCCCUUCGGGGCCUCCUCGUCUCCAACUCAGAGUCGCAGAACAGGGCUUGGCCAGGAUUCUCUCAUUCGACUGUCGCACUUCCACGAAGUGGGCUGACGAGUGAGAGUUCUGCAUCGCCGAGACGGAUCUGCGGGAGACUGGAGGCUGGCAGCGAGUAGGUCGGUCACCCACCCGACCCGUCUUGAAACACGGACCAAGGAGUCUAACAUGUGCGCGAGUCAAUGGGUCUUGACUAUGCCCAUGGGCGAAAUGAAAGCAAAGGAAUGCCUCAACUCGUCCGAGUGGGGAAUCCUUUCUUCUGAGGGAUGGGCGCAACCACGACACGUCCCUAUCCGACUCGUCGGUUGGGCGUAGUCUGAGCGUACACGUUGGGACCCGAAAGAUGGUGAACUAUGCCUGGACAGGAUGAAGCCAGAGGAAACUCUGGUGGAGGUCCGUAGCGGUUCUGACGUGCAAAUCGAUCGUCAGAUCUGGGUAUAGG
RNAcentral lists this ribosomal RNA (713 nucleotides) under Chalcoscirtus infimus. RNAcentral's name for it is "partial large subunit ribosomal RNA". The stretch from base 269 to 713 matches the Rfam family "Eukaryotic large subunit ribosomal RNA", at positions 1 to 921 of the family's 3401-position model. The record is from RNAcentral. Lineage: Eukaryota; Metazoa; Arthropoda; Arachnida; Araneae; Salticidae.